RNAcentral lists this ribosomal RNA (569 nucleotides) under uncultured bacterium. RNAcentral describes it as "partial 16S ribosomal RNA". It matches the Rfam family "Bacterial small subunit ribosomal RNA", at positions 355 to 1375 of the family's 1533-position model. The record is from RNAcentral.
UGGGGAAUAUUGCACAAUGGGCGGAAGCCUGAUGCAGCAACGCCGCGUGCGGGAUGACGGCCUUCGGGUUGUAAACCGCUUUCGCCUGUGACGAAGCGUGAGUGACGGUAAUGGGUAAAGAAGCACCGGCUAACUACGUGCCAGCAGCCGCGGUGAUACGUAGGGUGCGAGCGUUGUCCGGAUUUAUUGGGCGUAAAGGGCUCGUAGGUGGUUGAUCGCGUCGGAAGUGUAAUCUUGGGGCUUAACCCUGAGCGUGCUUUCGAUACGGGUUGACUUGAGGAAGGUAGGGGAGAAUGGAAUUCCUGGUGGAGCGGUGGAAUGCGCAGAUAUCAGGAGGAACACCAGUGGCGAAGGCGGUUCUCUGGGCCUUUCCUGACGCUGAGGAGCGAAAGCGUGGGGAGCGAACAGGCUUAGAUACCCUGGUAGUCCACGCUGUAAACGGUGGGUACUAGGUGUGGGGGUCCAUUCCACGGGUUCCGUGCCGUAGCUAACGCUUUAAGUACCCCGCCUGGGGAGUACGGCCGCAAGGCUAAAACUUAAAGGAAUUGACGGGGUCAUAGCUGUUUCCU